CGACGCAGCGGCGCCGCGUGAGGGAAGACGGCCUUCGGGUUGUAAACCUCGUUUCAGGAGGGACGAAGCUACUCGGGUGAAUAGCCCAGAGGGUGACGGUACUUCCAGAAGAAGCCCCGGCUAACUACGUGCCAGCAGCCGCGGUAAUACGUAGGGGGCAAGCGUUGUCCGGAUUUACUGGGCGUAAAGAGCGUGUAGGCGGCCAAGCAGGUCCGUUGUGAAAACUGGAGGCUCAACCUCCAGACGUCGACGGAAACCGCGUGGCUAGAGUCCGGAAGAGGAGAGUGGAAUUCCUGGUGUAGCGGUGAAAUGCGCAGAUAUCAGGAAGAACACCAAUGGCGAAGGCAGCUCUCUGGGACGGUACUGACGCUGAGACGCGAAAGCGUGGGGAGCGAACAGGAUUAGAUACCCUGGUAGUCCACGCCGUAAACGAUGGGUGCUAGGUGUGGGAGGUGUCGACUCCUCCCGUGCCGCAGCUAACGCAUUAAGCACCCCGCCUGGGGAGUACGGCCGCAAGGCUA
Molecule: ribosomal RNA, 521 nt
Filed under: uncultured bacterium
Lineage: Bacteria
Description: bacterial SSU rRNA
Rfam family: Bacterial small subunit ribosomal RNA
Source: RNAcentral